UCUGUUCUAUUGAAUUUGUUUUGGAUUUGUUUAGUUGUUUGGUUUUGGUGGUUUUUUUGGGGUUUUUUUUGGAGGGGGUUACUGUAAGAUGAACAAUACUUAUUUUAUAUCAUUCUCCCUGAGAAAAAUCUCUGCUGUCUUACCAGUUUCCCAAAUUUCUACAGCUUUCAGUCUCAUGGUGAAAGAUGGGACUUGGAAGGGAAGAACUUCCUCUAUAGCCAGGUUGGCCUCUCAAGCCUGCAGUCCCUUCCUCCCCAGCACCAAAGAAGGAUUGGUGCUCCAUAAUGCAUGCUCUUCCUUCCCUGGGGAACCUCAACAAGCACUACUCUGGUUGUUUACAUUCCUGGCUUUCGCCUAGUUUUCCAGGUUAUCAAGAUUUCUGUCAGGGCCCUCUUCUGAUCCCCUCUAAACAGGUUUUAAGAUGCCAGCUUUAAUGGAGUUACUUCUGAUUUAGUUCACUUUGGCAAGGAAUCACUCCAUGACCCUCCACAGGAUUUGUUGCGUAUCAA
RNAcentral lists this long non-coding RNA (509 nucleotides) under Cyanistes caeruleus (blue tit). RNAcentral's name for it is "lncRNA (ENSCCEG00000003168.1)". Lineage: Eukaryota; Metazoa; Chordata; Aves; Passeriformes; Paridae. The record is from RNAcentral.